ACGGUAUCUAUGGCUACCCAGUGUCUUCUC
Molecule: non-coding RNA, 30 nt
Filed under: Mus musculus (house mouse)
Lineage: Eukaryota; Metazoa; Chordata; Mammalia; Rodentia; Muridae
Source: RNAcentral